GCCCAGAGUACCUAUUGCCAGGUCACACAGGUUCUGUUCCUCUGUUCUCAUGGGGUUCAUUUCCUACCUCUGUGGCCUGGUCACUGCCCCACAGAGGCACUUCUUAAACAUUUCUUUCUCCUGGCAUUAAUGCAUGGUUUGGUAGAAAAGGCAUGGAUAAUAUUAUUGAUGGUAAUCUUUCAGCGAUUGUACUCUAUAAUGAUGUUUUGAGGACCAAGUAAUGCUAAAAUCAAUAAAGUCGGGGUGACGGGUACACUCCUGCUAUGAAGCCAUCCUGGGCUACAUAGGAAAUACUAGUCCACUCUGGGUUAUGAGGUGCUGUCUCUAAAAACAUAAUUACAUACACAAAUAUAUAUCUAAAUCUUCCUCUGAUAGAGACAGGAAUCUCUCAGAGAAGCUAUAUCCUGGCUAAAGACACAUGAGUUGCCUUACCCCCUGGGGAAGAAAUAGAUUACUACCAGGGGAGUUCCUUGAGAGGGCUGGCUGUGGGGCCUGCACUUGGUCAUUUCUUCACAACUCUUUUUUAUUUUCCUCAGGUACCAUAGGCGAGGAGGUUAUGACUUGGAAAGUGAGGAGAAAGUGAAGUUGGGCAUGGCUAGCUCCCACUGAGGAGGAUCUGAGCUCAAGGAGCCUUCAGAGGAUGGCUACUUCUGAGAUGGCGGUUCCUUACAAGUUCUACAGAGGGAAAAUACUUCACCAGCAGCCAUGAAGACUUCUUCAUUCAUUCCCAGUUGCUACCCUGACUGGGCCUCCUGUAAUUGCUCUGCAAAAAUAUCAGAGCCUCUAAGUGCCAAACAGACUAUGCCCCGCUGGGAUCUGGAUCAGAAGAAAGCAGGAGCAAGUGAGCCCUUCAGGCCUUCCUGAUCCUCCACCACUGAACCCACUGGUUUGUUUAAACACUUAGCUUCUGGAUUAAAGUGUCAGCUAGUUUCCAUAUGCUCCAGGAUUUUUGGCUGAAAAAAAAAAAAGAAGAGAGGACGGAUGAGUGGUUUAUGGACUGGAAGAGAUCAACAGAGUUGAGAAGCUAAGUGUUCAAGUAGCCACAGGGGAUCUGCUGUUUGGACCCUCCAGCACGCUGGAUUUGAUGAGCUAACUGUGAAAUAUCUCAAGCCCGAGAACUCUUGAGUUUUGGGACUUCUACCCAGAGGGGAAAAAUAACAAGUAUUUUGUUGUUGUUGUUGUUUGUUUGUUUUUAAAAUGCCUCUUAAAUUAUAUAUUUAUUUUAUUCUAUGUAUGUUAAUAUAUUUAGUUUUUAACAAUCUAACAAUAAUAUUUCAAGUGCCUAGACUGUUACUUUGCCAAUGUCCUGGCCCGCCUCUCUUGCAGCUCUUCCACCUGGCUCAAUGCCACACUCCCAUCUGCUCUGUAACCCAUCUGUAGUAAUUUAUUGUCUGUCUACAUUUCAGAAGAUGCCCCUGUAGCAGAGUAUCCCAGGGUGGGUUGUGUAUGGUCGGAGUGCAAGGAUGGAUUUGGGCAGAGCCACUCUGUGAGUUGGACUGCAG
RNAcentral lists this long non-coding RNA (1502 nucleotides) under Rattus norvegicus (Norway rat). Its description in RNAcentral is "long non-coding RNA NONRATT013753". The record is from RNAcentral. Lineage: Eukaryota; Metazoa; Chordata; Mammalia; Rodentia; Muridae.